RNAcentral lists this ribosomal RNA (2171 nucleotides) under Arachidicoccus rhizosphaerae. RNAcentral describes it as "Flavisolibacter sp. Vu-144 Bacterial large subunit ribosomal RNA". It matches the Rfam family "Bacterial large subunit ribosomal RNA", at positions 656 to 2925 of the family's 2925-position model. Lineage: Bacteria; Pseudomonadati; Bacteroidota; Chitinophagia; Chitinophagales; Chitinophagaceae. The record is from Rfam by way of RNAcentral.
AAUAACGGAGCCGUAGCGAAAGCGAGUCCGAAUAGGGCGUAUAGUCAGUGGGGGUAGACGCGAAACUUUGUGAUCUAUCCAUGGGCAGGUUGAAGUUUUGGUAACACAAAAUGGAGGACCGAACCCGUUGACGUUGAAAAGUCUUGGGAUGACCUGUGGAUAGGGGUGAAAGGCCAAUCAAACUGAGAGAUAGCUCGUUCUCCCCGAAAUGUUUUUAGGAACAGCCUCGGAUAAUAGAAGUGUGUUAGAGGUAGAGCUACUGAUUGGGCUAGGGGGCUUCAUCGCCUACCAAACCCUGACAAACUCCGAAUGCUAACACAUAUCUCCGGGAGUGAGGCUACGGGCGCUAAGGUCCGUGGCCGAGAGGGAAAUAACCCAGAUUAGCGACUAAGGUCCCCAAUCCACGUCUAAGUUGAAUAAACGCGGUGGGACUUCUAUAACAGCCAGGAUGUUUGCUCGGAAGCAGCAAUUCAUUUAAAGAGUGCGUAACAGCUCACUGGUCGAGAGGUCCUGCACGGAAAAUAAUCGGGCAUCAAGACGUGAACCGAAGUCCUAAAAUUGCACUUUGAGUGUAUAUUGGUAGGGGAGCAUUGAAAACAGCGUAGAAGGCGACGGGCGACCGUUGUUGGAGUGUUUUCAAAAGAAAAUGUAGGCAUAAGUAACGAUAAUUAAAGUGAAAAACUUUAACGCCGAAAGUCUAAGGGUUCCUGAUCAACGUUAAUCGGAUCAGGGUUAGUCUGGUCCUUAGGAGAACCCGAGAGGGGUAUCUGAUGGAAAGAAGGUUAAUAUUCCUUCACCUGCAUAUCAAUAAAAGUGACGGAUCACCGUGGCAUGUGCGUCCUGACGGAAUAGGGCGCUGAGCAGAACCUUCGGGGGAAGCGAACGUGUAAAAGUGGUUCCAAGAAAAGCGAGAUAUGCAGCCAGUACCGCAAACCGACACAGGUAGACGGGAUGAGUAUUCUAAGGCGCUCGGGUGAGCCGUGGAGAAGGAACUAGGCAAAUUAAUGCUGUAACUUCGGGAUAAAGCAUACCAUAGCGAUAUGGUCUCAGUAAAUAGGUUCAACCAACUGUUUAACAAAAACAUAGGGCCCUGCAAAAUCGAAAGAUGACGUAUAGAGCCUGAUACCUGCCCGGUGCUGGAAGGUUAAGGAAGGAUGUUAGCUGCAAAGCGAAGCUUCUGACUGAAGCCCCAGUAAACGGCGGCCGUAACUAUAACGGUCCUAAGGUAGCGAAAUUCCUUGUCGGGUAAGUUCCGACCUGCACGAAUGGUCUAAUGAGUUGAACACUGUCUCCUCCACGAGCCCGGUGAAAUUGUAGUAUCGGUGAAGAUGCCGGUUACCCGCCACGGGACGAAAAGACCCCGUGAACCUUCACUACAACUUUGCAUUGAUUUUGAGCAACCGAUGUGUAGGAUAGUUGGGAGACUAUGAAGCAUGCACGCCAGUGUGUGUGGAGUCAACGUUGAAAUACCAACCUUCUGUUGCUUAGAACCUAAUCCUGAAUAAGGAGACAUUGCAUGGUGGGUAGUUUGACUGGGGUGGUCGCCUCCUAAAAAGUAACGGAGGCUUGCAAAGGUACCCUCAGUACGGUUGGUAAUCGUACAAAGAGCGCAUUAGUAUAAGGGUGCUUGACUGUGAGGCAGACACGCCGAGCAGGGACGAAAGUCGGCUAAAGUGAUCCGGUGGUUCUGUAUGGAAGGGCCAUCGCUCAAAGGAUAAAAGGUACUCCGGGGAUAACAGGCUGAUCUUACCCAAGAGCUCAUAUCGACGGUAAGGUUUGGCACCUCGAUGUCGGUUCGUCACAUCCUGGGGCUGGAGAAGGUCCCAAGGGUUGGGCUGUUCGCCCAUUAAAGUGGCACGUGAACUGGGUUCAGAACGUCGCAAGACAGUUCGGUCUCUAUCUGUGGUGGGCGCUAGUAAAUUGCGAGGACAUGACCUUAGUACGAGAGGACCGGGUCGUAUGUACCGCUGGUGAAUCAGUUAUGCCGCCAGGUGUAGUGCUGAGUAGCUACGUACAGCUAGGAUAAACGCUGAAAGCAUCUAAGCGUGAAACCUUCCUCAAGAUGAGUUUACUUUUAAGGGUCGUCAGAGACGAUGACGUUGAUAGGCUAUAGAUGUAAAGGUGGUAACAUCAAAGUCGAGUAGUACUAAUUGCCCGUAAGCUUUAUUUUU